Oncorhynchus keta (chum salmon) is the source of this 1446-nucleotide long non-coding RNA. RefSeq lists it as uncharacterized. The record is from RefSeq and is a predicted model, not a curated record. The transcript has 7 exons. Lineage: Eukaryota; Metazoa; Chordata; Actinopteri; Salmoniformes; Salmonidae.
CAUAAGGUGAAUGCACCAAUUUGUAAGUCGCUCUGGAUAAGAGCGUCUGCUAAAUGACUUAAAUGUAAAUGUGGAUAGAGUUUGGUGCAUUCCGGAGUUCACUUAUGGCCCCACAAAGGUAAUCUUAGGAGAAAUUAAUUUUAGCAUACUGUAAAUGCCUGUGCUUAAUGUGCAUAACAAAGCAUCAUUAUUUUCAUCAUCUUAAAAGGAUUCUGUAGAAGCAGCCUUUAUUUUCAGACUCUGCAGGCCUGCUGGGAGGAAACAUAUUACAAUAAACAGAAGAAGCUCAUGGUUCACUAUCUGCUGCUCCAGAAUCAAGGCCAGGUCCCUCCCCAUGUCACCACGGAGCACAUGAGCAACUGGCUGGUGUCUCAGGGCAAAAAAAUCCCUUAGGGAGAGGGUGUGGAAGGAAACCCCGGAGGAGGGAAACGACCUCGCUCGGCUGGCCUAGGAAGUGAACACUUGCCUAAAAAUGAUGGACUUUCUGCAAGCUCCACCGCUCCAUGCACCCCACCUCGCCAGCUGACAUGUCCACAACAUCGUGGAAAGAGCUGUGAGAAGCAUUCUGAGCGAGCAGUCCAAUGAGCCCCGUAGCAACCUGCUCAGCCCAUCUCAGGUGGCGGUGGAGGUGGUGCCCAGGCUCCUCCUGGCCCUAUGGCUUCAGCCAGAGGAAGGCCAUUCAGAGCACCCAAUCCUAAUAAGCGGGAUGGCCGUGGGCAUGGCGGCGGCCGUAGUGGAGAAGCUCUCCUGCAUGUUAAAAGACCCUUCCCCUCACAUCCCUUUCUCCCGGGCUGCUGCUUUUGACUGUGCGGUCGAUCCUCUGGAGAGUCAGUCAGUCCUUCUCCACGAAUGACCUGCAGAGCCCUUUUUAUAUGAGCUCUGUUUGUGCCUUUGUGGCGGACAAGGUUCAGAGCUGCUUCUGCAGCCACCCUACCAGUCCCCCCUGUCCUCGCGGUGGCCGUUUCCACCACACUACCAGCUGACAUCCAAGCAGACCCGGCUUCUUCCCACCUAGAGGUUGUAGACAUCACCCCUAACACAGAGGCAGACCCGGCUUCUUCCCACCUGAAUGUUGUGGACAUCACCCCUAAUACAGUGGCGGAGCCCAUCUCUUCCCUCUUGGAGGUUGUGGACGUCACACCUGAAGAAAGGAUUCUCCCGAUGGCCGUCUUCGUCUCUUUGCCAGCUGACAUCCAAGCAGAGGAUGUUGCUGUGGUCAUCCCGGAUGUCACCCCACACGUCACCAAGGACGUGACACUGGAUGUUCCAUGCAGAGCUAGGAAAGGGGCAGUCCAGCGAUUCUUUUGCAGGCUUUGGAGGGCAGUGUGCUGCGGCGCCUGCCACAAGGAAGAGGAGGAACAAUAUUAAUUAUUCAUCAGACCUUCAGAAAUGGGAUUGAACCAUAGACCAUUAAAUUAUAAAAUUAUAAUUGGACUCAAUUCUGCU